Molecule: non-coding RNA, 117 nt
Organism: Pantoea vagans C9-1
Lineage: Bacteria; Pseudomonadati; Pseudomonadota; Gammaproteobacteria; Enterobacterales; Erwiniaceae
Source: Rfam
GCAGGUGAAUGCAACGUCAAGCGAUGGGCGUUGCGCUCCAUAUUGUCUUACUUCCAUAUUUAGAAUUAUUGCAUAGCACAUUUAAUUCGAAACAUGCCGGCCAGUGUGCCGGCUUUU